CUCUUCUAACCCCAAUUCAAUUUCUUCCAAAUCCCUAAAAACUAUUUCCACUUUCUCCUCCCUCUUUCCAUCUUCUAUCGUCUUACUCUCUCUACCAUCCCCCAUCACUUGCGACGUUGUUGUCCCUCUCUAAUUCGAAAAUGAUGCUCUCCUCCCUCGUUGACUAUGUAGACUCGCAUUAUCGUUGUGAGACAGCACAAAGUAGCCUCGCACCCCCGCUCAUCUUUGCCAGCAAUGCCGCCCUCUUCCCUCGAAGUGGCAUCACGGCUGUGCGCAGAUCACCCGUCAUUUAUCGACGACGUAAGGGCCACAGCUCAAAAACUAAUGCAGAAGGGACGCGCCGUUCUAUAGCUAUGGUUUGUGAUUUUAUCAAUCUGUGGAUGAGCAACCGUCAUGGUCUAUGAUUUGUUCUUUGUGGUUUAUUUUGAUUGCUCGCAUGAAUGAUUUUGAGAUGAUUUUUGCGGUGGUUUUUGGGUGUGCAGGAUAGCGAUCAUGCCAAAUUAGGUUGGUUUUUGUUAGUUGUUGGAGUGGUUGCGGUGAUUUCCAUGGUUUGGUAAUGUUGGGGUGGUUUUAUUGACAAUGCUGUUGGUAGACCCAAUGCUACUA
Molecule: long non-coding RNA, 606 nt
Filed under: Olea europaea subsp. europaea
Lineage: Eukaryota; Viridiplantae; Streptophyta; Magnoliopsida; Lamiales; Oleaceae
Source: RNAcentral